Molecule: ribosomal RNA, 1290 nt
Filed under: Escherichia coli
Lineage: Bacteria; Pseudomonadati; Pseudomonadota; Gammaproteobacteria; Enterobacterales; Enterobacteriaceae
Description: partial 23S ribosomal RNA
Rfam family: Bacterial large subunit ribosomal RNA
Source: RNAcentral
CUACGGUGCUGAAGCAACAAAUGCCCUGCUUCCAGGAAAAGCCUCUAAGCAUCAGGUAACAUCAAAUCGUACCCCAAACCGACACAGGUGGUCAGGUAGAGAAUACCAAGGCGCUUGAGAGAACUCGGGUGAAGGAACUAGGCAAAAUGGUGCCGUAACUUCGGGAGAAGGCACGCUGAUAUGUAGGUGAAGUCCCUCGCGGAUGGAGCUGAAAUCAGUCGAAGAUACCAGCUGGCUGCAACUGUUUAUUAAAAACACAGCACUGUGCAAACACGAAAGUGGACGUAUACGGUGUGACGCCUGCCCGGUGCCGGAAGGUUAAUUGAUGGGGUCAGCGCAAGCGAAGCUCUUGAUCGAAGCCCCGGUAAACGGCGGCCGUAACUAUAACGGUCCUAAGGUAGCGAAAUUCCUUGUCGGGUAAGUUCCGACCUGCACGAAUGGCGUAAUGAUGGCCAGGCUGUCUCCACCCGAGACUCAGUGAAAUUGAACUCGCUGUGAAGAUGCAGUGUACCCGCGGCAAGACGGAAAGACCCCGUGAACCUUUACUAUAGCUUGACACUGAACAUUGAGCCUUGAUGUGUAGGAUAGGUGGGAGGCUUUGAAGUGUGGACGCCAGUCUGCAUGGAGCCGACCUUGAAAUACCACCCUUUAAUGUUUGAUGUUCUAACGUUGACCCGUAAUCCGGGUUGCGGACAGUGUCUGGUGGGUAGUUUGACUGGGGCGGUCUCCUCCUAAAGAGUAACGGAGGAGCACGAAGGUUGGCUAAUCCUGGUCGGACAUCAGGAGGUUAGUGCAAUGGCAUAAGCCAGCUUGACUGCGAGCGUGACGGCGCGAGCAGGUGCGAAAGCAGGUCAUAGUGAUCCGGUGGUUCUGAAUGGAAGGGCCAUCGCUCAACGGAUAAAAGGUACUCCGGGGAUAACAGGCUGAUACCGCCCAAGAGUUCAUAUCGACGGCGGUGUUUGGCACCUCGAUGUCGGCUCAUCACAUCCUGGGGCUGAAGUAGGUCCCAAGGGUAUGGCUGUUCGCCAUUUAAAGUGGUACGCGAGCUGGGUUUAGAACGUCGUGAGACAGUUCGGUCCCUAUCUGCCGUGGGCGCUGGAGAACUGAGGGGGGCUGCUCCUAGUACGAGAGGACCGGAGUGGACGCAUCACUGGUGUUCGGGUUGUCAUGCCAAUGGCACUGCCCGGUAGCUAAAUGCGGAAGAGAUAAGUGCUGAAAGCAUCUAAGCACGAAACUUGCCCCGAGAUGAGUUCUCCCUGACUCCUUGAGAGUCCUGAAGGAACGUUGAAG